This 350-nucleotide unclassified non-coding RNA is filed under the name soil metagenome. RNAcentral describes it as "partial contains 5.8S ribosomal RNA, internal transcribed spacer 2, and large subunit ribosomal RNA". The stretch from base 1 to 120 matches the Rfam family "5.8S ribosomal RNA", at positions 35 to 154 of the family's 154-position model. The record is from RNAcentral.
GAUGAAGAACGUAGCGAAAUGCGAUAAGUAAUGUGAAUUGCAGAAUUCAGUGAAUCAUCGAAUCUUUGAACGUACAUUGCGCCCGCCAGUAUUCUGGCGGGCAUGCCUGUUCGAGCGUCAUUUCAACCCUCAAGCCCAGCUUGGUGUUGGGGAUCGGCACAGGCGCCCUCGGGCGCCCGCCGUCCCCUAAAUCUAGUGGCGGUCCCGCUGCAGCCUCCUCUGCGUAGUAGUUUUCUCCUCGCAAGGGCAGCUCGGUGGCGACCUCGCCGUAAAACCCCCAACUUCUGAAAGGUUGACCUCGAAUCAGGUAGGAAUACCCGCUGAACUUAAGCAUAUCAAUAAGCGGAGGA